UAGAGACGUUUUUCAAUUUUCAACUAUUACUUACUUAGUACCUAUCCAAUACAUAGGUACAGGUUUUUUUUCAACGCGUGCGACACUUGGAAUAUAGUAUAAAUAUAAAUACACCAUAGUGUAUUAUUUCUUCAUACAUAAUGUUACAUAGAUACGGUACUUAACCGAGAGAAAAAAGUAGGUAAAAUAAAAUUAGACAAUCGUAAAUUCAUUUUUCGGGGUAACCAUUCCUGUAAUAUAAUUAUUUUCGUGUGCAGGUAAUACUAUACUAUAUAAUACUUAUUUUUUUUCGCCACUUUGCGCCAACUGCAGUAUUAUUUUGGUUAACUUACCUACCCACAAUAGUAAAAUGUUUGUUAUUUUUGCAUUGGCUUAUAUAUCUAUAUAGUUGAAAAUAUAAAACGGGUGCCUAGGAAACUUUUUUGUAAAGAAAUAAUUAUCUUUGUCCACCUAUAGGUAUACAAUGUAUACUAUAUGUAUAGUAUCUAUGUAUGAUUUUGGCUAUAAUAAGACUACAUAGGUAGACUCCAGUGGCGGAUUUAGUUCUUUGCUUAGGGGGGAGGGCAAUAUUUUUAAAUAUAUACAUACAUGCCCAUAUGUAAUUAUAAAAAAAUAUUUACGCCUCUGAUAGAUUUUACAUGUCUUUUAAAUUAAGUACCCAGGUACCUGUUUUUCGAUAUACAUAAAAUGAUUUUCUAUACUUUUAUGUAGGUACUACGUUACAUUUAUGUGUAACUAUAUUAAAAUUUAGAAUAUUAUAAAAACCUAUCUACAAGUCAAAUACCUACUUUAGGUAGCACCUUUAGACCAGUUUCAUAUUUAUACACAAAUUGGAUUUAAAAUACCCUACCUAUUUAAAAUAUAUACGUAUGUAUGAUCCAAAACCAGUGGUUUAAGUGGGGGUUGACGAAGAUUUUAUUAUUAUUUAAAAUAAAAUUAUCUGUACCCUUUAUUUUAAGUCAUUGGAGUCUGGAGAGAAAAUUUAAUAUUGUUGUUCUAGAGUA
Cinara cedri is the source of this 1004-nucleotide non-coding RNA. NCBI's taxonomy places the organism in Eukaryota, Metazoa, Arthropoda, Insecta, Hemiptera, Aphididae. The record is from the annotation of a GenBank genome assembly.